UACGUAGGCAGCAAACGUUGUUCGGAAUUACUGGGCGUAAAGAGUGUGUAGGCGGUUUGGCAAGUUUGGUGUGAAAUCUCCCGGCUUAACUGGGAGGGUGCGCCGAAAACUGCCAGGCUAGAGUAUUGGAGAGGAAAGCGGAAUUCCUGGUGUAGCGGUGAAAUGCGUAGAUAUCGGGAGGAACACCGGUGGUGUAGACGGCUUUCUGGACAAUUACUGACGCUGAGACACGAAAGCGUGGGGAGCAAACAGG
This 253-nucleotide ribosomal RNA is filed under the name uncultured bacterium. Its description in RNAcentral is "partial 16S ribosomal RNA". It matches the Rfam family "Bacterial small subunit ribosomal RNA", at positions 524 to 776 of the family's 1533-position model. The record is from RNAcentral.